RNAcentral lists this ribosomal RNA (266 nucleotides) under uncultured bacterium. Its description in RNAcentral is "partial 16S ribosomal RNA". It matches the Rfam family "Bacterial small subunit ribosomal RNA", at positions 793 to 1055 of the family's 1533-position model. The record is from RNAcentral.
GUCCUUGCCGUAAACGAUGUGGAUUAGGUGUCGGGGUGUCGAUCCCUCCGGCGCCGACGCUAACGCAUUAAAUCCACCACCUGGGGAGUACGGUCGCAAGACUGAAACUCAAAGAAAUUGACGGGGACCCGCACAAGCGGUGGAGCAUGUGGUUUUAAUUCGAGGCUACGCGAAGAACCUUACCCAGGCUUGACAUGUUUAGGACAACGUAUGAAAGUACGUCUUCCCGCAAGGGACCUUUUACACAGGUGCUGCAUGGCUGUCGU